Molecule: non-coding RNA, 1021 nt
Organism: Ictidomys tridecemlineatus (thirteen-lined ground squirrel)
Lineage: Eukaryota; Metazoa; Chordata; Mammalia; Rodentia; Sciuridae
Source: RefSeq, a predicted model, not a curated record
GCUUGGAGUGGGCUAAAGGGGCGCGCCCGGCAGCCUGCCCGACCUCACGCCUUUGGCAGCUGCGACGGUGGCUGGCGGGGGGACCCCACCUUCCGGACGCCCUCCAGGAUCCUCGGGGGAGGGGGAGAGCCUCCCAAACCAUGAGGAUGACAGGCAUGCGCCAUGGCGCCCGGCUAAGAAAUCAAUCUUAACAGGAAACAUCACGCCUGUCAAUGGGAACCCAGUGCGCAGGACCCUACACAGAAGGCUACAUCCAUGGGGUCUCAACGGUUCUCGGCCAGGCAAUGGCGAGGCAGUGUGAAGCGCCAGGAGGGGAGACGACUAAGAAGCCGAGAACUUCCUGGAGCAGCCCUUGUGCUGUCUCCCCUGCCAGCAUCAUCAGGUCUGGGGAAGGGGACAGGCCACUCACCCCAGCUCCUCCAAGCUUGCAGCAGUUCUGAGUGCUUCAGAGAGGUGGCAGCAGCCGACGUCACCAAUGCUGUUCCCGCUCAGUCUGGAGGAGCAGGGGACAGGUCAAGAGACCUUAGAAAAGAGCCUAAAGGCCUUCGCAGGGGCUGCGCCCAGGACUCUACAGUUUGCAAAACCUGUAUACACCCAGGGGCUCGUGGACCACUCACAAAACUCCUGGGGAGGGUGGCGACUGGAAUGGGCAUGAAUGUCCCCAACAUCCAGGUGAGAACUGAGGCCUAGAGGUGAGCCAGACUGGCCAGGCUCCAGUGGCUAGCAGGCAGGGUGGACCGUGUUAGCUUUGCCGGGUCAGGGGCUCUGGGCCGGCCUGGCUGAAGCCAGCUCCAUGUGGUUCUAGAGUCCAGGCCCCCGGCUCCAGGGGACAGUGCUCCCCUCCUGCCAGUGGCAGCCUUCCCCACUGGGGCCUUACCCUCUCUGCAGCCUGACCCCCUGCCUCUGUGCAUGGGGAGAACACACCUAAAGGAAGGGCCCGGGCAACCGUCUCACCCCCUGCGAAGGAUCUGCCUAGAGGUGGUUUUCUUGUCUUUUGCAAAUUAAAAUUUACUGAAGUGUC